RNAcentral lists this ribosomal RNA (497 nucleotides) under uncultured bacterium. RNAcentral's name for it is "partial 16S ribosomal RNA". It matches the Rfam family "Bacterial small subunit ribosomal RNA", at positions 28 to 507 of the family's 1533-position model. The record is from RNAcentral.
GAUGAACGCUGGCGGCGUGCCUAAUACAUGCAAGUCGAGCGAACAGACGAGGAGCUUGCUCCUCUGACGUUAGCGGCGGACGGGUGAGUAACACGUGGAUAACCUACCUAUAAGACUGGGAUAACUUCGGGAAACCGGAGCUAAUACCGGAUAAUAUAUUGAACCGCAUGGUUCAAUAGUGAAAGACGGUUUUGCUGUCACUUAUAGAUGGAUCCGCGCCGCAGUAGCUAGUUGGUAAGGUAACGGCUUACCAAGGCGACGAUGCGUAGCCGACCUGAGAGGGUGAUCGGCCACACUGGAACUGAGACACGGUCCAGACUCCUACGGGAGGCAGCAGUAGGGAAUCUUCCGCAAUGGGCGAAAGCGUGACGGAGCAACGCCGCGUGAGUGAUGAAGGUCUUCGGAUCGUAAAACUCUGUUAUUAGGGAAGAACAAAUGUGUAAGUAACUAUGCACGUCUUGACGGUACCUAAUCAGAAAGCCACGGCUAACUACGUG